This 446-nucleotide ribosomal RNA is filed under the name uncultured bacterium. Its description in RNAcentral is "partial 16S ribosomal RNA". It matches the Rfam family "Bacterial small subunit ribosomal RNA", at positions 338 to 795 of the family's 1533-position model. The record is from RNAcentral.
CCUACGGGUGGCUGCAGUCGAGAAUCAUUCACAAUGGGGGAAACCCUGAUGGUGCGACGCCGCGUGGGGGAAUGAAGGUCUUCGGAUUGUAAACUCUUGUCAUGUGGGAGCAAAUUAAAAAGAUAGUAUCACAAGAGGAAGAGACGGCUAACUCUGUGCCAGCAGUCGCGGUAAUACAGAGGUCUCAAGCGUUGUUCGGAAUCACUGGGCGUAAAGCGUGCGUAGGCUGUUUUGUAAGUCGUGUGUGAAAGGCGCGGGCUCAACCCGCGGACGGCACAUGAUACUGCGGGACUAGAGUAAAGGAGAGGGAACCGGAAUUCUCGGUGUAGCAGUGAAAUGCGUAGAUAUCGAGAGGAACACUCGUGGCGAAGGCGGGUUCCUGGACAUUAACUGACGCUGAGGCACGAAGGCCAGGGGAGCGAAAGGGAUUAGAUACCCUGGUAGUC